Molecule: small nuclear RNA, 107 nt
Filed under: Castor canadensis (American beaver)
Lineage: Eukaryota; Metazoa; Chordata; Mammalia; Rodentia; Castoridae
Source: RNAcentral
GUUCUCACUAUUGAAGCACAUAUGCUAAAAUGUGAAUGAUACAGAGAAGGUUAGCAUGGCCUCUGCUCAAGGAUAACACACAAAUUAGUGAAGCAUUCAAUAUUUUU